UACGUAGGGACCGAGCGUUGUCCGGAAUCAUUGGGCGUAAAGAGCGUGUAGGCGGCUAUUUAAGUCCUGCGUGAAAUCCUGCGGCUCAACCGCAGACGGUCGUGGGAAACUGGAUGGCUAGAGUGCGGGAGAGGAGAGUGGAAUUCCCGGUGUAGCGGUGAAAUGCGCAGAUAUCGGGAAGAACACCCGUGGCGUAGGCGGCUCUCUGGAACGCAACUGACGCUGAGACGCGAAAGCGUGGGGAGCAAACAGG
This 253-nucleotide ribosomal RNA is filed under the name uncultured bacterium. RNAcentral's name for it is "partial 16S ribosomal RNA". It matches the Rfam family "Bacterial small subunit ribosomal RNA", at positions 524 to 776 of the family's 1533-position model. The record is from RNAcentral.